Molecule: ribosomal RNA, 465 nt
Filed under: Vreelandella stevensii
Lineage: Bacteria; Pseudomonadati; Pseudomonadota; Gammaproteobacteria; Oceanospirillales; Halomonadaceae
Description: partial 16S ribosomal RNA
Rfam family: Bacterial small subunit ribosomal RNA
Source: RNAcentral
CCUACGGGCGGCAGCAGUGGGGAAUAUUGGACAAUGGGGGGAACCCUGAUCCAGCCAUGCCGCGUGUGUGAAGAAGGCCCUCGGGUUGUAAAGCACUUUCAGUGAGGAAGAACGCCUGGUGGUUAAUACCCAUCAGGAAAGACAUCACUCACAGAAGAAGCACCGGCUAACUCCGUGCCAGCAGCCGCGGUAAUACGGAGGGUGCGAGCGUUAAUCGGAAUUACUGGGCGUAAAGCGCGCGUAGGUGGCUUGAUAAGCCGGUUGUGAAAGCCCCGGGCUCAACCUGGGAACGGCAUCCGGAACUGUCAAGUUAGAGUGCAGGAGAGGAAGGUAGAAUUCCCGGUGUAGCGGUGAAAUGCGUAGAGAUCGGGAGGAAUACCAGUGGCGAAGGCGGCCUUCUGGACUGACACUGACACUGAGGUGCGAAAGCGUGGGUAGCAAACAGGAUUAGAUACCCUAGUAGUC